Molecule: ribosomal RNA, 45 nt
Filed under: Heterorhabditis zealandica
Lineage: Eukaryota; Metazoa; Nematoda; Chromadorea; Rhabditida; Heterorhabditidae
Description: partial 28S ribosomal RNA
Source: RNAcentral
UGCAACCUGAGCUCAGUCGUGAUUACCCGCUGAACUUAAGCAUAU